RNAcentral lists this ribosomal RNA (427 nucleotides) under uncultured bacterium. RNAcentral's name for it is "bacterial SSU rRNA". It matches the Rfam family "Bacterial small subunit ribosomal RNA", at positions 355 to 774 of the family's 1533-position model. The record is from RNAcentral.
UGGGGAAUUUUGGACAAUGGGCGCAAGCCUGAUCCAGCCAUGCCGCGUGAGUGAAGAAGGCCUUCGGGUUGUAAAGCUCUUUCAGCCGGAAAGAAAUCGCGCAGGAUAAUACUCUGCGUGGAUGACGGUACCGGAAGAAGAAGCACCGGCUAACUACGUGCCAGCAGCCGCGGUAAUACGUAGGGUGCGAGCGUUAAUCGGAAUUACUGGGCGUAAAGCGUGCGCAGGCGGUUUCGUAAGACAGAGGUGAAAUCCCCGGGCUCAACCUGGGAACUGCCUUUGUGACUGCGAAGCUAGAGUACGGCAGAGGGGGGUGGAAUUCCACGUGUAGCAGUGAAAUGCGUAGAGAUGUGGAGGAACACCGAUGGCGAAGACAGCCCCCUGGGCCGAUACUGACGCUCAUGCACGAAAGCGUGGGUAGCAAACA